CAGUCGCCGCGGGAAUACGUAGGGUGCAAGCGUUAAUCGGAAUUACUGGGCGUAAAGCGUGCGCAGGCGGUUAUAUAAGACAGAUGUGAAAUCCCCGGGCUCAACCUGGGAACUGCAUUUGUGACUGUAUAGCUAGAGUACGGCAGAGGGGGAUGGAAUUCCGCGUGUAGCAGUGAAAUGCGUAGAUAUGCGGAGGAACACCGAUGGCGAAGGCAAUCCCCUGGGCCUGUACUGACGCUCAUGCACGAAAGCGUGGGGAGCAAACAGGAUUAGAUACCCCAGUAGUCCCUGUCUCUUAUCC
RNAcentral lists this ribosomal RNA (301 nucleotides) under uncultured bacterium. RNAcentral describes it as "partial 16S ribosomal RNA". It matches the Rfam family "Bacterial small subunit ribosomal RNA", at positions 509 to 809 of the family's 1533-position model. The record is from RNAcentral.